RNAcentral lists this long non-coding RNA (499 nucleotides) under Zea mays. Its description in RNAcentral is "long non-coding RNA (ZMAY_LNC002966)". The record is from RNAcentral. Lineage: Eukaryota; Viridiplantae; Streptophyta; Magnoliopsida; Poales; Poaceae.
AACGAGAUCAUCAACAGGCUGAAUAAAACCCGGGUAGAACGCCGGGCGCCAGACUUGAAAGGUGCUUAAUUACUAACACACAGAUACGCUGAUCUGCCCAUGCACGUACGCCGUGCAUAUCAUGCUUAAUUAUUAUCAGUUGAUUAAUAAUCUUUCUCCCCUCGCGCUCGUGUGCAGCCGAGAAAGAGGCAUCAAAUGCAGCAGAAAAGGCCGAGAGGAAGAUGCAGCUGAAAGAGAAGAUAUACUCAGUUAACAUUGCUGACAGCGCGGCCAUGCAUCUAACGACGGUCAUCACUGAUUGGAUUGGCAGAAACGGAAGGAGGAGAUGGAAAGGCUGGAGAAGGAGAAAUGGGCGGAGAUACGGAGCUACAAGGGCCUCAUGGUGGCCGAGAAGAUGACGUCCAACAGCCAGAUUUUAAAAAAAUGAGUUAUUUAAAAGAUAAAAAAAUCUAGAUGAGUGUAGGGCUCGAACCCCCAAACCUCGUGGUUUAAAACCUUG